AUAAAAAGAACAAGAUGGAUUAGAGAAGCAACAUUGUAUCUUUGUCUCCCAGCAUAAGAUCAGCACAAAAAAGGAGCAUGAGCGUUGUUGAGGUGGCUGCAACUGAGCCUAGGUGGUGUUAGUUUUAGUUUUAGUUUUGUCCUCCUCCCCUUGAGGACUGAGGAUAUCUACAUGAGACAAGUCAGUGGAUGCUACAAAACCAUAGUAGCCAAUGGCAAAUGUGGCUUGUAAAGCAAGUUUGGGAUUAUACAAGAUCUUCCAUCGUUCCUCCCUACUUAUGACAGGUGAUGGUGGUGUUCUAGGACAAGGACAAUGAGCUUUAGGUUGAAUUAGGCAAUCAGAAACAAAUGUGAGAUUAAGACCCAGUUUGACGGCUUUAACUAUAAGUGCCCUGAGAUAUGUAUCUCUUAGGCUUCUUCGACGACGAUGACGUUUCCGGAUCCAUCUCAUCAGCCCUCUUCUUCUUCUUCUUUGACAUUUUCAUAUCCAUCUCAGCUUCAAUGGAAGAGAGGGAAACCCUAUACCUAUCUAAGUGUAUUGAUUCUUCCUCCUCUUCCCGUGCUUUCAAUUUCAAUUUGAUUAAACCCUAAUUCUAAUCCCGUGUCUUGUUCUCACCACCAGCACCAAACGAACUCAUAAAUAUUACUAAUAGAGAUAACAUAUUUCAUUCACAAUUAAAUUACACUAGUUUUGUCACAAAAAAAAAUAAAAAAUUACACUAGUUUUAUUUCCGGCGCGGGGAAUUUUAUUUAAAUGUAAUUUGUAAAAUAAAAUCGUUGAUGAUAAUUGUUAGGAUCCUAAAAAUAAAAUUCUUAGUGUUGAUAUGAAGAUUGUAAUUGGAGCGCUGCCAGUGCGACUGAGAGUGGCGUAAACACUGGCGGUGUGGUCGAGGUGGGGCUCGCCAUGGCUGUAGUAGUUGAGGGUUUGGACUGCGCUUCCCCUAUGUUUGUGAUGACGACGACGGAGGAGAGGAAUCCGUUGAUGGAUCUGAUUUCAGAGAAAACUUUGGUUCAGGUAUACAGUUGUAUAACUUCUUGUGCGUGAAUUUGAGAAAUCUUGCAUAUUAGAUGUUCGAAAAAUGGCCAAGGUAGAAAGAAAUGUUAGCGUACUGUUAUGAUGUAGAUAUAUGUCUUGGAAUUUGCUUUGUAAUGUUAAAUUUAAGGGGUUUCAGAUUUCAGAGUUCAAUUUCAUUUUCAAGAUUAAGUUUGAAACCCCUAACCUAAUAUUCUGGAAAGCGUUUCUUUCUGUUCAGUGUUGGUACCAAAUUUUAUUGUCCACAUCUUGUAAUCAAAUUUGUAUGAAUAUGUAACCAAGAUGAUAUGGAUUUUUUUGUUAACUCACUUGCAGCUGCACAAUUCCUUGUCUGUCAUGAUGUAGAUAUAUGUCUUGGAAUUUGAUCUGUAAUGUUUUUCAAGUACAAUACACAAGUAUUGAGCUUGGCAAAGCCUUUGCCAGAUUUUUAGGUUCAAGUAUUGAAACGGUAUUCAUUUGUUAUCAAUAAUAAUGCAGCAAAAAACAGAGCAAAUAGCAUAAGAAAUUUGCUACGAAGAGUGAGCCUUGGUACUUCUGGAUCUGUUUUUGUAAAUUGAGGAUUUUGUAUUUCAUGUUUUGUUGAACUUUGGUGGAGUAGUGUGUUGUAAGAUAAACCAUGUAACUUACCCUUGUACCUUUUUCUCAGUUUUUACUGUGAACAUAAAGUAGAAAUUUUGUAGUUAGAACUUCAAAUAAAUAAAAGUAAAAUAGAUACGAUACCAUACAUACCCAAGUAUACCAGCUUAUUCUCUUAUCAUGUCUAUCGUGAAUUCAAAUGUGUAUUCUACAUUCCUACAUGCAUAUGUAUAUAUCUCCCCACUGUAUUUUUGAUACUUUCUUGCCAUGAAGGCUCAAUUUGGACCUUCCCUACAUAUAGAAACUAGCCCUUUUACUUUUAAUAGGUUCAAUUAAUUAAUCAAAUAGCAUUUUAUGAAAACUUUGUGUUAAAUUAUGCUUUUAUGGACACUUUCCUGAAAAUAGCUCUGACCCUUGACCACAAUUUUUGAAUUUUCUUCUCAUUUCCUUAAUAUAUAGUAGCUGCUGUAAAUUUUUAUGCAAUGGCAGGCCCUUUUUGGUCAUCCUUGGACCUCACUUUUUGAAUGUUAAAAGAAAACUGAUUAUUAUGUCUCCUUGAUUAAUAUGUUUUUGACAAUUGGCUAGGGAGCUAAAUUGCCGGUGAGUUGGCGGGGGUUCUCACACCUUCAUUUCAACUCCUUCUCCUGCAUCUAUAAACUGUUUUUGGUGAGUUUGGUACUAAAUUAUUUGGUAAUACUGAUGUGGUGUGGUGAAUUUCGAUUGCAGAUUACUUCCUAUGCUUCUUGAACAUGUAGAUAACAUGUGUUUUUGAAAGAUUCUUUCAUUUAUUUAAAAUAUUGAAGUUCAUAUCAUUGUUUGUGCAAUCCUACAAGGUAUAAAUAUUAUGUGACCAUGUAGAUUUCAUGUUUUUCUAGGUGAACUUGUCCUGUUGGCUUGUGUCAUAUUGGUUGGACUGUUUUCUCUCCAACAUUGUGGCACGCACAAAGUUGCUUUCAUGUUAGCACCAAAACGAGGAUUGUGAGUUUCUCCUCUAUUCUUUUUCUUUCAGUCAUUUUUGUUUUCUUUGUUCAUCAGGAUAUGUAAGUAGUCUUUGUUUUCCAUUGCUUGCAUUUACACCAUUUAAUCCCCUUACCAGGUGCCCAUUUUUUAUGAAUAUUGAUCAUCACUUGAGGAUUCAGAUUUAUAUUUAAACUAAGUAGAAGACUUCAGCUGAUUAGUGCAUUUAGCUCCAUUAUUUUAAAUUUCCAGUUAAUCCUUUUGUUAGUGGCUUUCUAGUUUCCCCUUAUGGUAUGGCUACAGAGGUAUGUUUGUUUCUGAGAAUACUUACUACAUUGUUUAACUCAAAUAACAUAGUUCGACUGUCUGGUUUGCGCAGCAAAGCCACUGAGCUGAUUUCUUACCUGCUCGUAUCUUUUACACCUCACGACAUUAUGAUUUCUGUUACCAGCCAAAUCACUACCUUUGUUAUUCUCUUUUUCUGAUAUGAAACCCAAAUGUAAAAGUACAAUCCUAAAGCAAUUUAUUAGAAGAAAGCCUAUCAUUAGUUCUGUUAGAAACAUAGCAGUUAAAUGAUUUGCACUGCAGCUUGAUUUAAACUGCUGCAAGGUUCAUAUACGGUAUACUUGCAUAUCUGUGUUCUUUUCAGUUGUCCCUAUUUAGUUGAUUCAGAAAAUGACAUUGACAUUGAUCAUUCUUUGUGUUAUAGAAUGUCACAGACAUUGAUCAUUUGGGCUAAUCUUUUCUAUUUUGCAGUUUUUUGUUUUCUUUUUGUGGUUGGUUGCAUUUACUUGUUCUGUUCUAUCGCCUACCGGUUAAGUCAAGUCUCUCAUUGGCAUCCUACUUUCACAUUUGUUUGUAGUGUUUGCUGCAACUUACAUAAUUUCUCAAUGUUUAAUUAAAAUAACCACAUUAAUGUUUUAUGAGACUAAGAUUGGAAUGCUUAUUAAUCAAAAUAUGAUUGGUUUAAAUGUCCUAAUCCUUACACGUGCAAUACUCAGAAGUUCAGUAUACUGACAUUUUUUUUUUUAUUGUUUGUGAUCUGCAAGGAAUUUUUUGUUUUUGUUUUUGAAAAUCACCACUUCUUGAUUGAAGAAACAGACCAAUACAGAAAGAUGGCCGCUCCAUGGGGUUUGAGGCAUCCCCCACCCAUGUACGUAAACCAAUCAUUUUAGCUGCUUGGGCUAAUCUAUGAGCAGCAGAGUUACAUGAACGACUAACAACACAAAUAGAACAAUUUGCUAAACUAGAAAACAACUCUUUGCAAUCAACUAUAAAGUGAUCAAUACUUGUUAGAGAGAGGAGAUCCUUGAAACAGUCCACCACCAAUGAAGCAUCCAUUUCAAAUAUGAUAUUACUGAGGUUCAAAUCCCUUGCUAUUUGAAGUCCCCAAUGCAGUCCUAAUGCUUCUGCAACAACAGCUUCAGUCACAAACUCAGUCUUCUUUGUGGCAGCAAACGCUACUUCUGCAUUAUGGUUCCUAAUAACCAGUCCCCAGCUGACUUGACCCAUCGGACCCCAACCGGCAUCGACAUUUAACUUGAAAAAAUCUGGUGGAGGAGCCACCCAGUCACAGCGGGGCCGCUGUCCAGUCGACUGCUCCCUAGGAGUGGAUCCUUCAGAAAAUCCAGACACAAAAUUUUGGGCAGCAAAAGAGACUCUAAUUGGAUCGAAUGCCAAAUUUUGAAAAUUGUUUGAUUCCUAAAGAACCAAAUAUUCCAUAGUGUUGUACAAAAAAGUUGGAUCGCGAAAGGCUCCUUACAAUUAAGCCACUGUGUAAACCAGAUAACAAAAUCAGAAUGAGGAGGGGGUCUGACCCCUAAAGGGGAAGCGAGCCACACUUGUUUGAUAAGAGGACAAUGAAGGAAAAGGUGUUCUGUGCUCUCCAAACCAUUAAAGCAAAGUGGGCAAACAGGAUCAAGAGGAACUCGCCUUCUCAAGAGAUUGCCUCUGGUUGGCCUCUGCAAGGAAGUUAAUAGAUAAACAAAGUCAUUGAUAUCAAGGUUAGCAUUUUCUCUGGCCUCUUUAUGUUUCUGCAUUAUGUCAUACAUAAAUAUGUUCCACUCAUAAUUAGUUUACUUGUUCGUUUGGAUUUGGAUUUGGAUUCCAUAAUCAAGAGAUCUGGAAAAGGCUGACCUUGGAUUUGGUUCACUGUGACACUUUUGGCAGCUAAUCUUCAUUUUGGCAGUUAAAUAGCUACACUUUUUGGUAGGCAAACUUCUAUAUUCGCCGACACUUUUUGGCUGUUAAGUAGCAGCUUUUCUCUAGCUAAACUGUUCUGCUAAUCUGCUAGGUUCUUUGUAAUAUUGUGCCAGCUAAAAUUCAGAUAUCUUGAUGAGAAAUGUCAAUUGGCUACAGUUUCUAAUGUAGCUAAUAACAUGAAAAAAUGUUAAAAAAAGGUGAAUUGGUUACUUUUUUUAAAUGCAGCUAAUAGCAUGAAAAAGUGUUACUAUAAGAUUUUAACGACAUAGGGUAUAUACUGCAUUUGGAAAAGUGUCACUAAAAGCAACAACGACAUUUGAAUGUGAUUUAGUUACACUUGUUAAAUAUAACUAAAUCUCUUAUGUGUAGUAGUUUGCACAUGUGUAUUUGACUUGUUUGGUUUCUUUAUAAUUAUGGCUACCGCUUGUGCUUUGAAAUCUAACUCUUCUGGUACUAUUGGAGAAUGGACCAUUCCAAUUUCUAGGGAAAUUGGAUCCUCCAAAAGUAGGAUGUGAUUCUUACUCUUUUCAGUGAUGAUUCCAAGAAACUAGUAGUUUGAGCCCUUUUUUUUUGUGUGUGUGUGGGUGUGGGGGUGGUUCUUGGGGGCAGUAUCGUUCUGCAUAAUUAUUAAUGCAGCAUAGUAAUAUAUAACCCCUGAGAGCACAAAUGCUACUGUGGGUGCAAACAUAGAGGACCCCUUUAUUUAGUACCUCUGAUCUCUGAUCUUUGACAUUCAGAUCUAUGCAUAUGUGGUUUUUAGGGAGUAAGGACUGGGUUUUGUUUUUUUAGGAUUUGCCUUUUUCUGUUUUGUUGGAUUUGGGCAGCCACAGGAAGGCUGUCAUGUUUGAGAGGGUAAUUGUUGAUGGAGCUUCCAGUUCCGGAAUUGCCAUUGCAUCCUAAGAAUAGAUAAAACAUUCACUGGAAUGUAGGGCUCCUUCAAAUGCUUCCCAUAAUUCUGUUACUCACAACUUGUGUUGAUCCGGUCAGCUCCAUUUCAAGGGUUUUUAUUUGAAUUUUGAUCAUCAAUGCAAAUUUGACUGCCAUGCAUCCACCUCGUAGCUAUAGCUAUUAUCCAUUUUGACACUUAUCUCAUCUUAUCUGUCAAGUGCUCGAAUUUUGUUUAUUUCAUCUGAGUUGUGAAGAAUAGGGUGGAGAAAUAUGUUGUUCUAGUAAAAAAGAGUGAACACUUCUUUCUUUGGGAAUUAUUAAAAUGAAUUUCAUCAUUUUUUAUGUAGUCACACCAUGCCUUCAGAAUAUCUGGGUCAUACCUAAUUGACUGUCUAAGUUUGAGGUUUUCCUUUUAAGUUUUGAUCUGUCUGUACAUAAACCUCACUGUUUGAUGCAUAUAACCUCUGGCUACAUUUACGUUUGACUCAUUAAAAGGAAAACCUUACUGUACCUGAUACUUCCUUAACUAGAAUUAAUCUUUUACAUGGGAAAGAUCAAUAAUAUAAUCACUAAUGUUAUCUUCACACACACUUUUAAUUUUAAUUCUCUCUUUUUAACUCUUUCACCUGAUAUACGAAGUCUCUCUUCCAAAGAGUGCAGUGGCUCAUUUCACUUCUUGUUGUGUUAAUUCUUGCUCAGAUUCUAUAUGCGGUUCUAGUGUAGCAUCUCCAUUGUCAUGUUUAUUUUUCAUGAGAGUGGAUCUUAUAAUCCCAUCUAUAUCUCUUGGUUUCAUGUAUUCCAAUGAAUUUGGCCAUCUUCAUAGUGUUAAUGGUUCUUUCUUGUGAUUUCUUCUGGCAUUUAUGCAUACAGUUGCUUUUUAAGUCACAAUAGUUUCCUCAUGUGUCCAAGAAGAGCUAAAUUUGAUUCACUGAAUAACAUUGGCAAACCAGGACUUUUAUGGUACUUGCCAGGACAGGGUUGAUAUGCAUUUUUGAAAUUAAAAAGUGUGAUCCAAAUUCCAUGAAGUUGCUUUUGGCUUAGCUAAAGAUUUGCUUUUUUAACUUCUCCAAUCAUUUAAAAGUGGUAUAUCAUAUAUUCUAUGACUUUUGGCUUAGCUUAAAUUGAACUUAUAUUUCAUUCCCUCCUAAGUAGACUUAGAAUUAGAACUUGGUUUAAUAAAUUGUUUGAUUAUGAGUUAUUUGCUCUGCCAUAUGGAUGUUUUGAGUUCUGCUUUUUUUUUACUCAACAUUCUCAUGAAAGAAGGAUGCUUUUUUUUUAGCUGUCCUUUUUAAUUUUACUGAUUAUCAUACUAAUGAGAGAAAAGGACACGAGGUAUUAGUUUAAAAAGUUAAAUACAAGUUUUCAGCUUUGACAUAAUUUUGUCUGUUGAUGCAGUUUUAGGUAAGGUUAAGGACUUCCUAGAAGUGAUGUCGGACGCAAAUAAACGACUAGAACUUGAUGAGAAGUUCAAAAUUUCUUCUGUAUAUAUUUGGAAUAUUCAUCUUUGUUUUGUCCAACAGCAUUUUUGGGGCUGCUGGUGAGGUUUACUCUGCUUCAGCCUUCAACUUGAUAAAAACUUGAGAUCACACUCCCAGAGCAAAGAGAUUACUGAUGCUGAUAUCUUAAACUGGGAAAACAAUAAAGUGAAGAAAGCCUGAAGAACUUCUGAAAUGGAUAGUUUCAAGGUAAAUUAAGCAUAGAUUGACCAGUUUAUGGGUUAAAAUAAUUGUCAGUCUUAAGGCAUUUGUCAAGCACGUGAUAUGACAAUUCAAUCACCACCUCUCCUGUCACCCUGUUCGAUUCAUGUAUUUUUUUAUUCAUUCUAUGCCAUUUAAUUUUUCUUAAAAUUGCUUCACAGGUUACCUAAUAAUUAUACAGGCAUUGUUUUUGCAACCAAGUGUUGGUUAGUGAAUCGAGGAAAAAAAAGAGCUCAACGAUGAGGAUGGUGUACAUGAUUCAAUCUACAAGCUUAAAGGAUUAUGGUCUUGAAAUGUAGUUUACUGUGAUAAUGCAGUUCAUCCUUGGACAUACAUAUGUGCUGUUCUGUGAACUUUCUAAACUCUUCUAGAGGUGAAAACAUACGGCAAUGCUCCAGAUGGCAAGAUUUAUCAGAAUAGAUGCAAAUUACAGAUGUUUGACUAGUUUCGUGUCCUCUAAUAGUGUCCAUACUUUCCACCAUUCUUCAUGCAAUGGCAAUGCUCUAGAGGAGUUACCAAUAGGAUUGGUUAGUGAAUCUAAUUAUCCUUCUGGUAAGACAAGGUAGCAUGCGCAUGGUAAUUGGAUAAUCCAAUUUGUUUUUGUCUUGCAUGAAGAAUUUCAAUCAUGAGGAGGUUUGUUUGUUGUCAAUUGUGAUUGCUCUGAAAUUCAAAGUAAUUUUCUAACAAGUCUUUUUUUGACAAGUCUUAUUCACUUUAGUUAUUGCUACUUGUUGAGGCUGGUCUAGUUCCGCAGGUGACCGGUACUUAUAGGGCUGAGUGCUAGGGUUGGAGCAACUCAGAAUCUGGACUUUAGUAUUUCUAACAAGGCUCUCACAAUUUAAUUGAGAAACAAAUUUGGGCUCAUGUGUGUAAAUAGUAUUUCAGUUUUAGAGGGAAGAUAAAGGAGUAAUUUGGAGUAUGAACUGUGUAGUGAUAACUUAAUGAGCAUGUAAGUUAUAUAAGUUGAGGUACAGUUUUGGUUCAUUUGAAGAGCUUUAUAAUUUUAUUUGCCUCGAAUUGUUAAGCGUAAGGCUCCGUACAAUGCACAAUUUGAGUCAUCUCAAUUCAAACUUGGUUUUCUUGUUUUAAGUUAGAGUAACAUAUUAUUUUUCUCAAUGAUUUGACUUUGUUAUGUUAAACUAACUUUGUUAUUCCUCUUUUAGAUUUAUAGUCUUGGUGAAAUGCUUAUGCUUUACAGGAAGAGUACAAUUUUGAGUGUAUGAGUAGCAUUAUGAGUGGGGUAUACAAAGAGAAGAGAAAUGUGGGUGAGUAUGUCUCUUUAUGAGAAUAUAUGUUUAGAGUAUUUGCUCUGCCACUAGAGAGAUUGAGAGCUCUCAAAAGCUGUGGUUCAAAGUUAGAGAGGAGUCUAGGCCAAACAUAUUAUUAUAGAAGUUCUUAAAAAUGAGAAGGAGCUUAAUAAUUACCCCAAAAAGGAGAUUGAAGAAAAUUCCAACAGAAAAUUAGAGAGGAGCCUAGGCCAAACACAUUCCCUUUUAUUUAUUUUUUUUUUAUUAUAAGUAUGAUUUACUUACAUACUUAUAUGAUAAUACCAACAGAAAAUUUUAUUAAGAUAAUAUUUGAUAAUUAGUCAAAUAUUUUAAAAAAUAAUUAUUCAGUAAUAAUAUAAUUUUUUAUACUAUAAUAAUUUAUUAUAUUAUUGGAGUAUAAUGAGUUAAAUAUGUUUUUCAUCUCUAUAAAAUUAGCUAAUUUUGAAUUUCGUCCGUAUAAUAAAAAAUUACAUGUUUUCAUAUCUACAAAAAAUGUUGUUUUGUUUUUAGUCUUUUUUUUUUUGAAGCAUUGUUUUUAGUCCUUAAUGGACAAAGUUUUGACAUUUUUUUAACAUAAUAUGAACUUACAUAGCUUUAACAUAAUAUAGACACAUUUCGAACAUAAAAAGUUAUAUCAUUAACUUUAAAAUAAACAUAAAUUAAUCGUAAGGGACUAAAAACAAAACAUUUUUUUUUAGGAAUGAAAACAUGUGAUUUUAUUUUAAAUGGACAAAAAUUAAAAUUUCGUAGUUUAACAACAAAAAAAUGUAUUUAACUCUAUUUUUUUAGAAUAUCAUUCAUUCAAAAUUAAACAUUGUUCAAGAAUAUGUUGUCAAACAAUUUUUUUACAAAGUUGUCCCCAACUCCUUGAGCUUUAUGGUUCUGAUGGAUGUCAUGUUUAACCUUAUUGGCAUUGCAUGUAGAUUAGUAAUUGAAGAAAUAACUGAAGCAGUAGAGGAUGAGUCUUCUAGAGACAACAAAGCUCUUUGGAAAAAUCACUGGUUCCACAUAUUCUAUAUCUGAUGUUUUUUAGGUCCCCAACGUAUCUUUUAUACCCAAAAAAAAUCUAAUUUUGUCCUUGAUAAAAACUUCGGUUCGCAAAAACUUAUGUUUUUUCUAGUUCAAACUCAGGAAAAAUUCGAUUAACAUUUCUAUAUUUUUGACACAUACAUGUUCAAAAAUCCACUAACCUGUAAACUUCCUACGGACUAAACUAGCAUUGAUGAACUGCAUCCCAAUGUGUUGUGCCUUUCCACACCCCCUCUCCACCAUCGUCUUACGAAUCUCAUUAACAUUAACUUCUGUCUCGAUAAACAAUUCAUUAUAGCUAACAAAUUCAUUUUUCAAAUCAAAAUCAGUCGUAAUAAAUUAUAUGUCAAAAGCUCAGAAGGAAAUACCAAAUUUCCAGCUUCUUCGCUCUCUCUGCACAUCGUAAACACAAUGAUACCUGCAGAGUCAUUCGCCAUUUGUAGGGAUCCCCGAGUAAAGCUUUGUAAUUUGGUAAUUUAUGGUUGUCAUGCCAAAAACUUUGUAAUUUUCUAUGAAAAAAAGCUUGAACCACAAUCCCAAAACCUUAUUCUAAAAAAACAACAAAUUAAGAACAUCAAUAGAACAAUUACAUGACAAUAGUGAAGGUUCAUGUCCAGUGUAGAAACAUAUCUCCUAUUUCGUCUCGAAUGUCCACCAAAUGAAAUGAAGAUAAAAUCGCAAACUUUAGACUCUCUUUCCACCUUCUCCAUUUGGCUUUUGAUGAAAUUUGAAUCAAUAAGACGAUUUUCUUCUAUGAGUAUAAUUUCCUCCGGUAGAAAGUCAUAACGAGUAAUCAGGACGUCAUAGAAACAUUCGGCAUCAAACCAUGGGAAGUCCAGUGACGCUCUCUCGUCAUCGAGGUAUCUAAGACCCACUAUUACUGCCCCUUUUGAAAGGGCAUACAUUAGGCUUGUGAAAACCUCUCAAUUUGAAGAUGAAGAUAUAUUCAACAAUUUUUUUAUCGAAAGAUAAGUGCAUGUCACAAAAAGACCUAUCAGAAGAAUCAAUUACUUUACUUCAAAAUUUACCAUUUUUCUAAGAACAAUGUUUUCGGUUCAGCUCUUUCUGUUGAGUAUCAAGUUUGAGACAUUGAAAAUAUAUGUGAAAAUGUGCAUCCAAGACAUAAAUUAAACGGGAACCACAUUAAUCAACCAAACGUUCAAGACUCUCGAUUGAAAGGAGAAUAGUAAAAUCAAAUAUCAAAUUCAUACACUCCAAACCAUCAACAAAUUCCAUCUGUCAAGAAUGCAAGAAAAACAAAACAUCAUUCACAUGAAAAUGUAAAAAACCGGAUAGAAAAUCCAUGCAAUUGAUUAUUCAAUGCAUACUCGAGAAUUAAUACAGAAAAAUACAUAUGGUAGUAACCAUAUUCAUAUAUAUAUAUAUAUAUCUAAAAGCUAAGAAAAUACAUAUCCACUAAGUGCAAAAUAACCUACCUCUAUCAUUGUGUAUUACCCUACAUAAUAAUACAUCCAUACGCGGAAAAUAAAACACUAAACAAAUAUUUGUUAAAUAUGAAAAACAACAAUAGGACAAAUAUUUAUUUUUUAUAUACAUAAAUAAAUAAGAGACAAAUAUUUACUAUUGAUAAAUGCAAAAAAAUAAGAAACAAAUCUUUGCCAUCAAUAUAUAAUUUUUUUUCUUUCAGAGAUUCCAUAAAGGUUCUACUAUUUUUCUUGUGGAAAAGAACGGCGUGUUUAUGAGGUUGAUGAAAGAACGGUUCUACCACAAAUUUAUGUGCAUUAUCAUCACUACAAGAGGACAGUCCGACGUUUCCACAUGUUUUUUGUCAAGAGAUUGCAAAUGAAAUUCAACUUACAUUUUAUUCUUCUUCGAUGACAAUAACAAAAUGUUUCGAUCAAUGGCUUCUUGGACGGACAAUCUGGACAUAAGGUCGCCGUCGAAGAGAUGGGCGGUGAGGAGAGGUGGGUGGGAGUACGUAGAGGAAGGGAAAAAACAUUCCCUUAAAUCGUCUAAAAUAACACUAGGUAGACCGACGGUGAACCUAAAAUAAAAGGGUUUUACUCUAAUAUAAAAUAUACAUCAGUUCUCUAAUGUGCUUACUUGGCACUCUUGCAUUUUAUAGCUUUAGUGAUGUUCUACAAAUGGUUGUUUAUUUUUUCAUAAGGUGUUGAUUGCUAUUUUUCUAAGAAUUAUUUUCCGCACUCUUGAUCUUUAUUUGUUUCGCUAGGGUUGUCUAAAUUAUCUAAGAUUUUUUUUCGUUUAAAUUACUUUAAUCUAUUUCAUGUCAAAAUAUUAUUAGGUGACCUGGAGUGAUUUUAUCUGAACUUGGCCCUCCUGGAGGUUAUAAUUGCUGCAAUGUUUCUCGUAUAAAAACCGAUAACAUGGUCUCACACCACAUUCAAUGAAGACGAGCCGUUUUUUUUUUUUGACAAAAACAAAUUCAACUCAUUUCAUUAAUCAAAAUACUUUCAAUACUAGGAGGAAUCAAAUCUAAGAUACAACGACUAGACCAAGAAUAGGCCGCCCUAGCUAUAGUGUGAGCAACUCUAUUCGCUUGACGCUUAAUAAACUUCACCUCAAAGUUGGGAUAAUUCACUAACAAAGAUUUAAUACUAGAAAUUAACGUACAAAACUCUGAAGUUCCAACACAAUUGGAGGAAAUUGCAUCAACAACAACCUUCAAAUCACUUUCAAAACAAACAUUGAAGACACCUCUUUGAAUCAUUUCAUUCAUUGCUUCCUUGAUUGCCAUAGCUUCUCCUUCAAAUGUGUUGAGUCUUUGAUGAAUAAUAUUAGAGCCUGGCCUGCUAGUAUAAAUCUUCCACGAUAAUCAUGUAUGCACCAACCCCAUCCAGUUGCGCCGACAUUGUUGAAAAAGCUAGCGUCAACGUUACAUUUAAGCCGAUUGUGGACUGGUGGCUGCCAUUGCUCUGCUGUCUGUGUUGCUUGCUGGUUUUGUUGUUGGUUUCGGGUACUGUUCUCAGCCUUCCAUUCAUUCCAAUAGUGCAACGCUUGCAUACCAACUUGUCUAGCAUUCAGCCUUUUAUUAUUCCAUACCAAGUUAUUUCUAUUGUUCCACACACACCAUAAAAGUGUAGCCAUUUUUCCUACUGUCAUUGCAUCCUCCUUAUAACAGAUGUCUAGGAACAACUCUUGGAUAUUUGCAAAUUGAUGGAUUCUAGAUUGUAUCAUGUGUUCUAAACCCAUCAUUUCCCAGGCUUCUCUAGCACUAUUACAUUCCAAAAAUAAAUGCCAUGCGUCCUCUUCAUCUUGUAAGCACAUGGGACACUCUAAAGGACAUUGCACAUAGUGCCCUGUUAGACGGGUUCGGGUUGGUAAGCAAUGAAAAGUUGAAAACCAACAUUUGUGUUAAUUAUAUGGAAAUGAAAUUCAACGCACUUUAAUUGACACUUAGAACAUAACAUUCACAUAUUAACAACAAAUUACAUUUGUAAUUAUUUUCAUAUUUUAUUUUUGCAACACAAUUUUCACCUCUUAGACUGUAGCCACAGAUGGAGCAUUCAUUUUUUUUUUUUUGAAAACUUGGUACCAACCCCAAAUGGGUCCACAGAUGGAGUAUUCAUUAAGUUGUUUGUGUUAAAUAUGUUUGGAUCUCAACCCUAAAAGCUAGCACAAAGGGUGAAGUUGCCCUCACAUAUUUAUACACUUCACAUCCCGGGAACCUAAGCAAUGUGGGGCUUCAAACAAACUCCGACAACACAAACAACAUAUUCAACAGUUUGAACAUGCCACAACUUGAACACCUAACUACUUUCAUAGCAAGUGCAAGAAGAGGCUAAAGCUGAAAGAUAUAGAAAAUUAGAAACUAUGAAAAUGAGAACCUCGGUUCCCAAGGAGCACCAAAGAAAGGAGUGAACGGAGAGAAUAAAAAGAACCUCAACACAUGCUGAAAGAUAUAAAGAACCACGCUGAGGAUAUUACAUUAUAACUCAUUGACAAUUCCUUGACACAUCAAAAUCAAAGGUAGAUAUGCGAAAACAUCAGAUAAGCAUUUUAAUGGCUUGCAGGCCGCGUGGCUUCCCUUAGAAACUAUAAAGCAGAAUGAAGUAGAAUAUUUACCUCUUAAGCACGAGGCAACACUUCUGUUGGCCAUGUACGAAUAUACAAGUAACCUUUUCGUUGGUGUCAUACAGAAGCCACAUGAUCGGAGGAGAUUUUUAUUUACAACCAUACUGAUCAUCUCAACUUCAGUCUGAAACUGAAGCUCCCCACCAAAUGUGCGCUCCUCUUUAAAUCUUUUGACACCAACCAAUGAGCCAUCUGCAAGGCGUCCUUUGCACACCUUACCAAAUCCUCCCCUUCCAAGAAUUUUCUUAUUGCUGAAACUAUCUGUUGCAAUUUGCAAUUCUCGCAAUGAAAGGCUGCCCAAGAUGGACUUCAGGAUCCUCUUCAGCAGUAAAUAUAUGCAAGUAAAUCAAAGCUAUAUAUAUGCUGCCAAAAUUUAUAUGCUGAUCUCCGUGACUUGAUGCACACAAACACAUCUUAAAAAGCUAUAUAUAUGCUGCCAAAAUUUGAUCCAAAUUUUUUCAUAAUCAAAUGAAUUUGAUGCCAUGUAAAUUAGUGGGUAUACUUUCUGUAUCGAAUUGAGGACCUAAGAUAUGUGGCUGAAAUUAGAGAACCAAUGUAUGUUUAUGAAGAAGAAAUAAUUAUGUUAUGUAGUGUACUAGUUUGAACUUGAGAAGCCGAAAAACUAAGAUUUUUCAAUAAGCUUUGGAGCGUUUGACUCUAUUAGUUUGAACUUUUGAAUCAUGUCUCUAUAACCCAAACCUGUCAACUAGUAUGUUGCUACACUCCUUUUGGUUUGUACAAUAAUCCAAUUAUUUUCAGAACCAGAUCAGCUAAUUCAAUAAAAAAAACUACCAGCAAAAAAUUGAACAUGGCAUUGAGACUCGAACAACAACGGAUAGGGAUACAAGCAACACAAGCAACGACACAAUGAAGGGAUAAGCCUAUGAGGAAAAAAUGAAUGCUAACUUACCCCGUCUUCCACACUUAAGAAUGCCAACUAGCUCGUUAUGUUGGCAGUAACACACUCCAUUAAUUUUGCGCAAUAAUCCAACUCAACCUCCCCUUCUCUAAUGAAAUGAAAUGCAAGAUCAACUGAUAAACUAAUAGGUCACCUGGUAUGGAUAUGUUCGUGACUGUCAUGAUAUGGACUUACUGUCAUACUACCAAAGGAUGUGAAACCAAAACAGAGAACUCGUAUCAUCACACCAAUAUUAUAAACUUAUAUUUUUGCUUCGGGCUAUUAACAGAAAGAAGCUAGUUUCAAUUUUGGGUAUGGACAAUCACACCAAUGACAGGAGGAGACUCAGAUCAGUUUUUCGGCUUCUCAGAACUAUUGAACAAUUGAUCAGUUCAAUAUAUAAAACAUCCUAAUAAUUAAAUGGGUGGGAUUUCUCAUUAAAAAUCAAUUAGUCAAAUUCAACUGGUUUUUUUCUUUCUGUUCAUUGACGUCUCUAAUUUAUUUUUAGAUCGUACUGAAAUUGCAGUCCAACUCCAACCUAUAAAUAAUAGAAAAUAGAAGAUGGCCUAGCUAAAAUAAUAGUAAAGAAGCACUUGUUUGCUUAUUUAUAUAGCUUAAUAUAACUUAAAGAAGAGGCAACAUUUCAACUUCAUCCGUCAUCAAAUCAGUAGAAAAACUUGUUAUCUAUCAGACAUGGAUGGCAUUCCGCCAAAUGAGACAUUUAGGAAAGCUGAUGGUCAGACAUGAUUCAUACAUGGAAACAGGCAGUUAAUUAUACAUAAUUAAAAUAUGAAACUUAAUUUAUCUCGUAGUUUGUUGGAUGCAAACAUAAAUAAACAUGAAACAAAGUAUGGCGAUAAAUAAAAAGAACAAGAUGGAUUAGAGAAACAACAUUGUAUCUUUGUCUCCCAGCAUAAGAUCAACACACAAAAGGAGCACAAGCGUGGUUGAGGUGGCUGCAACUGAGCCUAGGUGGUGUUUCUCCUCCGAGUUUGACCAUAGCCUUUUGAGCAAGCUCCAAGUUAGUAACUGGACCACCACGAGUCUCUUCAAAUACAUUGAGUAUGGAAUUGGUAAAAGGCCCAUAUGAUGUGUGCUUGUAGCCGGUUGGUGGGGGGAAGACUACUUCUGAUACAUUAUUAAUGUUCCGGAAGAUUGAGGAUAUCUACA
RNAcentral lists this long non-coding RNA (15770 nucleotides) under Trifolium pratense (red clover). RNAcentral describes it as "long non-coding RNA (TPRA_LNC003406)". The record is from RNAcentral. Lineage: Eukaryota; Viridiplantae; Streptophyta; Magnoliopsida; Fabales; Fabaceae.